GCUCAGUAACACGUGGAGAACGUGCCCUUAGGCGGAGGAUAAUCUCGGGAAAUUGAGGAUAAUACUCCAUAGGUCACGGGGUCUGGAACGACCCGUGGCCGAAAGCCCCGGCGCCUAAGGAUCGCUCUGCGGCUUAUCAGGUCGUAGUGGGUGUAACGUACCCCCUAGCCGACGACGAGUAUGGGCCUUGAGAGAGGGAGCCCAGAGAUGGAUUCUGAGACACGAAUCCAGGCCCUACGGGGCGCAGCAGUCGCGAAAACUUCACAAUGGAGGCAACUCCGAUGAGGGAAUUCCUAGUGCUAUGUGCAUUUGCAUUUUAGCUUUUCUCAAGCGUAGAUAACUUGAGGAAUAAGGGCUGGGUAAGACGGGUGCCAGCCGCCGCGGUAAUACCCGCAGCCCAAGUGGUGGUCGAUUUUAUUGAGUCUAAAACGUUCGUAGCCGGUUCAUUAAAUCCUUGGGUAAAUCGGAGAGCUUAACUUCCCGACUUCCGAGGAGACUGGUGAACUUGGGACCGGGAGAGGCAAGAGGUACUUCUGGGGUAGGGGUAAAAUCCUGUAAUCCUAGAAGGACCACCGGUGGCGAAGGCGUCUUGCUAGAACGGAUCCGACGGUGAGGGACGAAGCCCUGGGUCGCAAACGGGAUUAGAUACCCCGGUAGUCCAGGGUGUAAACGCUGCAGACUUGGUGUUGGGGACCCUUCGGGGGUGUUCAGUGCCGGAGAGAAGUUGUUAAGUCUGCUACUUGGGGAGUACGUCCGCAAGGAUGAAACUUAAAGGAAUUGGCGGGGGAGCAC
Molecule: ribosomal RNA, 792 nt
Filed under: uncultured archaeon
Lineage: Archaea
Description: bacterial SSU rRNA
Rfam family: Archaeal small subunit ribosomal RNA
Source: RNAcentral